GCCAAACAAAACAUAUUAAACUUAAAACACUUACCAAGGACCCAUUAUCAGUCCUAAAUAAGAAUAAAAUUUGAAAUCUAUUUUUUUUCUUUUUGCGCACAUUCCCAUUAGCAAACAAUAUCUUACUUGUCAAUUAAAGCUAUGUGUUACCAUUCAAGAUUGAACUAAAGCAUAAUAGGCAAUCUAGAAAACCUUACUUUACACACACACCAAAAAGCAAAGUAGAUAGUAACCUUAAAUCCCAAAACCACAGAUAGACACCAAAAAAGAGGUAGGCAAUAACCUUGAAUCCCAAAUGUUGGAAGCUAACAGGCCUAUUCACUUAUUGAAUGAAACUGACCACUCCAACCAACUCAACCUGACCCAAACAAAUGUAUCAGUUUGAAUCCCAACUACUGGUCGGAUUGGUUAAUGUACUUCAAAAGAUUACUUUUUUGGUUGGUUUAGAGAAUUAUUUGUUAAGACCUGAUUCUCACUUUCUAAUCGCUAACUUCUUCUGCAAUUUCACAGCUUCCAUAGAAACUUUGCUUGCGUCUUUGUGCCCAUAAGGCUCAAGGCGCACUAAGAUGCCAAGGGAUCUUAGAGCCUAGGGGCAAGGCACAGGCG
This 606-nucleotide unclassified non-coding RNA is filed under the name Hevea brasiliensis (rubber tree). Lineage: Eukaryota; Viridiplantae; Streptophyta; Magnoliopsida; Malpighiales; Euphorbiaceae. The record is from RNAcentral.